Chroicocephalus ridibundus (black-headed gull) is the source of this 454-nucleotide long non-coding RNA. RefSeq lists it as uncharacterized. The transcript is spliced from 3 exons. Lineage: Eukaryota; Metazoa; Chordata; Aves; Charadriiformes; Laridae. The record is from RefSeq and is a predicted model, not a curated record.
GAGCCCUAUAUGAUCUCAAGUAAUUUUUUUUUCCUGCAUUCUCUUAAGCCUGAUGUAGAGUGAAGGUACCUUCGACUAUGGAUCUCUCAUAUCCCUAUAUCUUGGAAGGUGGGAUGGAGAAACGAAAUCAUGAAGAACUGAAAUUAUGUGCCCCGCUGAUCAAUAAUGAUAAAACCGCAGAAGUUAAAGCCUCCUGCUGAGUGCCAACCAUUGAAAUGCAUCAAAGCCAGCGACCAACAAGGAUGCCUGACAGUCCUCCAGUGGCCUGAGCACUCAGCCGAGCUGCAGCAUGGCAGCCUGGCAGAAGUGUUCUAAUGAAUUCCAUGUGUUUUUUACAGUACCCGCCUCUCUCCUGAGUAUUUAUGCAAUAAAUGACUUGAGGGGCAGAAGAAAGCAGAGAUCUUCCAAUGCCCUCAUUCUUUUCUGCCUGGAUGGUAUUUUUAGCCAGCAACCC